RNAcentral lists this ribosomal RNA (477 nucleotides) under Schistosoma spindalis. Its description in RNAcentral is "Schistosoma spindale partial 28S large subunit ribosomal RNA". Lineage: Eukaryota; Metazoa; Platyhelminthes; Trematoda; Strigeidida; Schistosomatidae. The record is from RNAcentral.
GGAGUUGAACUGCAAGCCCUGGGAAUUCAACUGAUGAGUGUGAUUUGUGCUUGGGCAUACUGGCCGCCUUCAGUGUCUGUUUAAUUGCAGGUGCCUGCCUUUUUGGUGGGUAUGUGUGAAUCGUUUGCAUACGACGCACGCACUGUUGGUGUGAGGGUCUGCUUGUCAGUGCACUUUCUCUGGGUGUUCACCACGACCGGCACUGCUGCCUGUCUGCUAUGGCCAAACUGAUCAGGUCUGAUUUUUGUCAGUCUUGGUUGGGUCGGCAGGUGACUCUUUGGCUCAUUUAUGGGCUGUGAGUGUUACUAGCUGGCUGUAGUGGAGCUGUGCGGUGUGUUGGAGAUGGCGGCUUCGCAUGCGUGCCUAGACCUUCGGGCAUUGUUGAGUCUGGUCGGCUCGUUACUAGCUUCGGCUGGUCGGCUGAUGGCUUGAUUUUGUCACGUAGGCGGUUGCGUGUGUGGUUUGCAUUGGGCCAAU